GAUGGUGAGUCCAGCAUCUGGUGUGGUGGGAUGUGGCUGAAGGAUGGGCAGCGGGAUUCCAUGUGCCCCUGUGCUGUCCCUCCUGGAGUAAGAGGUGGUACAUCUACACCCUGCCCUGCCCCAGGGCUGCAUUUCUUAUCUGUGCACAUCUCCGGGCCUGGCACCCGCACUUGGCUGCCUGGCCUCACCGUGGUGCCAUGGGUUGGAUGGGGGGCAGAGUCCGUCAAGGCACACUGUGGGUUGAGCAGUGCUGGGGAGCAGGUAGUGGGGAAGGGAGGCAUCUUCUGAUUCAGAUGUUGCUGAGGAGUUCCCAUUCCACACCUGACAUUUAGAAACCAGGAAUCCUGCUGAUGGAUAGGAUUUGAUGUGGUAGAGUAUAUUUCACACUGUGUCAUUUAUCCUGGUGCUGCCUCAUGUGAAAUGUCAGCCAUCCAGGAGCUUUUCUGAUCGCUCUUUGAAGUACUGGUUUCUGAUAAACUCAGGAGAAGGAUGCUUUUUCUCCCCCAGGUCAGGGACGAGGUGUGGCAACAACUUCUCCUCUCUGCACAGGUCCUUCAGUAGAACCUGCCAGCUCAACCCUAUGUACUGAGGGUCACAGCAGGGGUUCUGCUACCCUUCCUUCUCCUGGGGCACCCCUGUUCCUUUUGUGGACUGUGCUAACCCCUUUCUCCCACCCCACCUCUGUCUGACAGCACCCUGCCUGGUGCUCCCUCUCCCUGCCUGUGUCUGGAUUUGCUCCCAACACGCUUUUCAGCCUUUGGAGGAAUAUUUUUAACUCUCCUGGGGUUGCUGCUGUUGACAAUGGAAAUCUAUUGUGUUUUAUGUGCCUGGAAAAUGAAUUUCCAUGUCAGAAGAGGAGAGCAAUUACCACAAGCAAGAGAGAUCAAAUUGGGUCUUUAAAAAGAAAAUAAAGUUCAGAUCUUAUCUGAUUAAUGAGAUUUCUUCCAAACCUUAACAAAUCUUAAUUACAGUGACUCUGCUGGAAGGGAUGAGGUGAAGCUAGGAUUGGGGGCUAUCUAAACAGAACUGCUCUCUUCCAAGCUAGAGUACAUCCCUGCAUGAAAGCAGCAGGGACGGCCAUUGAGUGCAGAAAGCUGCUCAGCUGGAAAUCAGCAAGGCAGGAUUCUCCAUGGAGCCUGAGCAGCUCCUUCCCCAAAGGCUGGCGGUGCUGGGGGAGAGCCCUGUCAGCCCCAACCAGCAGCGAUCCUGCUGGCUUCCUCUGUCCCAGAUCCCAGCAUCGGUUUUGCUUCGGAUCCCUCCUUGCUGCUACAAAAUACUCACUUUCUCUUUCUGCAGUAACAAUAAUUGCUCAGUUCUUCAGGAUUUUUAUUCUCAAUUUCCUGUUUUGUUUUGUUUUCUAAAUCAUCCUCCUGCUUAAAAUCAGCUGAGGGAGGUAAAGUUGUUUAUCCAGUUUAAGCUCACAAAACGUUUUCUGCUUAUUUUGUUGGAUUGCUUGCGUAACACGGGCCAGAGAUUGUCCCCCUGCCACCUCUUUAUUUAACACAAUAACUUCCUUCCCAAAAGAAUAUGAGUCUUGAGCUGAAGAUGUCGAGAAAGGGAGACUCCAGUGCUUCCCGUAAGAGCCUGCUCUAGUGGUUAAUCACCCUGACUUCCUCAGACAAAGUAAAACAAAAUAAAGAAGGUCCAGUAUUUUUAAUUGGGACUUGUCUGGCUUCAGCAUUUAUCCAUUGGCUCUCGUUACGGCUUCCUCCAGUGAUUAAAGAGUUGUUUAGUGCCUGCUAUUUCUUCCCUAGGAUGAUAUUUAUAUGCGAGAAGCAAGUCACCUCUUGAUCCUUUUAAUAAACUAAAUAAAUUGCUCCCUUCAUAUCCUUGUUAUAGUAUGUUUUCCCCCCAGUUUUGGGUAAUGUUCUGGGCUCUUCAAUCCUGUCACCAACAAACAAGCUGAGAUGGAAAGAGGAGGAAACAGAAACAAGUCCAAACCCUUGGAAAAUCAGACAGCCAAACCCUCCCUUUGUCUGUAUGAAUAUAUUGAUUCCCUUCCUAUUGUCUUUGGAAUAAAUUUGGGAAAAGAUGACUUGUCUAAAAUACGUUUUCUCAAUCUCUGUAUCAUUUCAGUUUAAUUAUUAACAGCUAUGAGCAGAGAUGGAACCGGCUGUCAGCAUUAGAGUGAGAGGUAAAAAUGACAACAGAUCUGUGUAUUUAAGCACAUGCAGAAUUUCAGGGUGGGAAUUGCAGGAUGGCGUGCGGAGUGCCCGAGCAUCCCCUCUCUGGGCUCGCUUGUGGCAGAGCCUGGCUGAGGUGGCAAGUGAACGGGCCCCUAUGGGAGUCUGUGCUCCGGUCAGCUCUGGGAAUGAGGCAGCCGAGGAAUUGAAGUCGUGUGAGACAGCCAGGCACAGCAGGGUCUGAAGAGGAGGAAAAUAAAGCAGGUCAAAAAGCAGACUGUGUGACAAGAGAGAAAUUGGAGAAGACUGAGAUAAUGCUCAAUUAGAUCAUGCAGUUCACCUCCCUGGGGCCCAUGACAGACUGGCAAAGUUUAUGAAGAAGCAUUUCUGUCCAUGGAAGAACCAGAUUGACCAGGAUCUGGAGGCAGACUAAAACACUUCAUUAUCUUCACAAGUAGGACCAACUUUUCAGUCAGGGACUCAACCAUUCAUAAAUAUUGAAGGAUUUAAGCAUGUGCUAGGAUUUCAGCACAUGCUUAAGUGCUGGGGAUUUAAAGAGGAACCUUAACUGCUGAGUGCUACUGAGCUGAGGAUGAUUCUCCCAUCCGCUGAGUGUGACACAGAGUCUCCUGAAGAACUCAUAGUCUUUGAGGGAAGACAAGUACCUGAUGCAAGGGGCCAGAUCCUCAGCUGUUGUAAAGCAGCACCAUGUCCAUGGGGCAGUUUACACCCACAACAACUCCAGCCCAGCCGUGGGCUGGAGGCGCUGGGACCAGGGGAUGUGGGCUCAGAUCCCAUCCCAGACCACAGGAAUGGGUAACUUCCAACCUGGAACAAGACCUCCCAUCCCCUCCACCCCCUCUCCCCCAGCCUGUCGCUUAUGUUCAAGGCAAGAACCAUGGGGGGACACGUGUGUGUGUCUAUUUGGGGAGGGAGCGCACCGAGGAGAGGGGGGCAGUGUGGUGACACACUCUGCUCCCAGAUGUGAUACCAGCGAUAAUUUCAAUUUUAUGCCUUUGUUAUGGCUUUAAUCACUUUCUUUAUGCGUUUUGUUCCAGCGAUCAGGGAGAGACACCUGAUAGGCAAAAAGGAUAUCAGGGGAACAAUUUUUAUUUGGAAUGUGGUGAGAAGUCUAAUUAGAAUUUGAAUUCUGCUGAGCCUUGAAAUGGUCGGUACUUUAUCCUGAUCGCCUUAGAUAUUGUUUCGAGUCAAUCAUCUGUCAUAGUGCGGCACGCUGGAGAGAAAGGCUCUCCAUCCAGGCUGGUCUCUCCGUCAGGCUGGGGGCUGCUGGUGGGGAAAGGGAGGGUGAUGGAAGGGAGGGCAGCGGACUUUGCUCUGCCAGAUAGGCUCCCCAGAUAGGAGCAAGCACAAAGGGAGAAAAACCUUGGCACAGAGGUUUCCCUUGCUGCGUACUCAUAGCCCUGCUGCGGGGUACUGCCUGCUGGCCCCUUUCUCAUCAUUGCAGGGCUGUCCCAUUCAAAUGGGGGGUGAGGAAGAGGAGGACUGUGGGUCAACAUAAAUGUCCCCCCAGUGGGAGAGGAGCAUCCUCUCAGAGAUAGUCCACACGGCUCAAGAGAAUUUUGCUGCUUAUCCUUGCUGUACCAAUUAAGUGCUCUGGAGGGUAAGUUCUCACAAGCAGACAAACAGCUAGGAAUGGAUGGAUGGAUGCAUGGAUGGAUGGAUGUACAGACAGAUGUGAAUGGGAAUGGCCCUCCAGAUGGAUUUGUAUGGGACAGAGGUAGAGAUUGCUGAACCCAGUGAGACACAGGGAUGGAUGGGGCACUUAAGAAAGGUGAGAGUUGAGGUGGACGUGCCUCAUCAGGCUGAAUGCAGUAAGCACAGUCAUGAAGGGUAUUUUUUCAGGCUAUCUGCCGACUCAGGUUAAUCUUAUUUCAUUUAUGUUACCAGAAUGCAAGGGAAAGUGGGAACUUGGGAACAUGACAAUAAGGCACUCAGCAACUUUCACAAUUCUUUCAGCUUUAAACUCUGUUCUUAAUAGUUAAAAACCCCACAAACCCACGAUAAGUUCUAGUGUUUCAAACCUAAAAGCCACUCCAGAACUCACCAGGACACCUCCAGUAACAUCUUCCUGUCUCCAGUCCGCAGUGCCUCCCUCUGGUGAGACAGCAGCCUUCAGUCCUGCUCCAACUGCUUCAAUACUGAGUUUAUAAUGAGCUGUGCACUGGUGUGAUCCCUGCUGCUAAGGAUAAGAAGGCGCACCAGGAGGACUGCAGCAUGAUCUAUAUACCAGGAGAGAUGAACUGAGGAGAAUCAUGAACAAUAGAAUCAUUCCAAGAUUCCUAAACUUAUUGAAAUUGAUGGUAUUUUCCCACAUCACUGUUCCUGAACACUCAAGUCCAUGCACCUUCCCACCUAGUUUGCCAGCUGUGGCUGGGGUAAAUUCUGGACAAAUGACCUUAGCCUUUCCACAAGGCAAAGCUGAGGCAGAGGACCGCACCCAGCUGUCUGCAAAGACAGAACAUGAAGUCUGCUGUUCCCCAGGACCAGCCUCAGCCUGAGCAACCCAGCCAAGGGGCCCUGAUUUGUGGGUUCAGUCAACAGCAGGGCAGCUUCUCAGAAAACAUUAUCAGAGAUGUGUGUUUUGAGAGAGAAGCAAAGACAAGAGCAUCUGGACUGCAAUUGGUUUCUCCUCUCCUCUGGGCAUCAUGUGGGAUCCAAGUGCCUCCAGCCCCCUGUGGAGCUGCAGCAGCUACCAAUUGUUCUGGCAGGCCAGAAGAGAGGAGCAGACCUGGGACUGUCACUCUCACCUGGCCAGGGGUCCUUUUACCCCACAGCCAGAUGAGAAAUGAACUUCUCCAAGUGCACAUUGGCAAGCUCCGAAGUGAAGUGCUUAAUAUACCUUGCAGGUAGGAACCGAGCCAUGCUCUGCCUCACACUUCUUUGUCUUGGAGUCCUGCAAAAAUGAGUAGUAGUCAUUGUGCUCACAGACCAUGGUGGCAGGUAAGUCCAGGCCACUUACUAGGGAUUCAGUGAGCCCAGACUCAGCACGGAAGGUCUGCAGUCAGCUGGGUUAUAAAUAGAGUCUGGCUAACCAGGCCAAGAAAUUAAAGGUGUUUUGACAUGGUCACUACAGCAACUGCCACCAUCUAGGUAAAACUGUCAGCUGCAGGAGACCUGUUCCUAACCCAUGCCCGUCAAGAUCAAGAGUGGUCCCAGGUUCUGGGAGGACUGGGUGGCUUGGAGGAGUGCCCUGUCCAUGUACCCAGCCGUGAAGAGCACUAUAAAGGUCUUUGCUGCUCACACCUGGCCCUGUGCCCAGUGCAGAUCCGAGUCAGGAAGAUGGAAGGCAAGGCUCUUCACCAGGUUCUUGUACAGCAUGCAACCACAGCUUAGCAAACUCCAACGUCACCACCGGCCCUGGGUGCCCUGUCCUUCUGCAGCACUGACAUAAAUGGGAUGGCCGAUUUACUAUGCAUGAGAGAUUUCCAGUCGUGGCUAGAUGUUCCUGAUCCACAGUGACCUUUGAUCCAACAGUGAAUGGUGGUAACCUCAACUUUCUGUGUCUGGGCUCCCUGCCCAGUUUUAUGGUUAAGCAUUACAGCAACACCUUUCCCGCUGCCCAGUUUCUCUCUUGGAAACAAAGAUUGCAAUUCUGCAGUGCUGCAGUUAGACCAGUUUAACCUUUCCCUGUCAUGUGGAUGCCCAGACAAGUCCAAGUGGGCUCAGUGGAGACAAGCAGUGUCCUCGCACCUCAGAGACAGCCAAUCUAGCUGCUUGCCUGCACUCUUUCAACUACCUCCUCAAGGCUUGCUCUCCAGCUGUACCUGCACCCACAGUCAAGGGCAAUUUUAUGUUUUCCCUCCAACUCAUGCUCACACUGACCAUCCACACUGCAAACCCCACUCCUCAACCCUGAAUGACCCAUUCAGCCAGCCCCAGUGAUCUCUGGCUGAGACCUGGCUCACUCCACACUGACCUUCAGAGCCACCUCCCUCUGCUUUGCUGUGGCUUUAGAAAUCACUUGAGCAUGAAAGCCCUGAGCACAGGAAGUCCGCCAGGGAAAUCCUGCCCCAAAAUCCCACAUUCCUCAUUUCUUACCCUUACUGCAGCCCCUUUCUGCUGAACCAUCCUGUUGGGGCUAUGCACCUCAGUCCUACAAAAAAACAGGGCAUCUAAUUUUGUGUGUCCAUGCCCUCCCUCUCAGGUAGGAUGAUAGGCCUGGUCCUGGCUUUUUUCAGCAUUUUUGGCUCAGUGGAUGUCUUUCACCAGGCACAUGGGACAUGGAGUUCCGGACUUGCUUAGGGCUAAUAUUUCUGAUUUGUAGGUAAAAGCAGCAGUAAAUGGUGUCUCUAUUACUGCUCCUAAACCUUAGCUACAAAAUAGUCACAGGGCCAAGCAGAACUAGUCAAAGCAUUGAGCAAAUGUUGUAGAAGUGUUUCAAUAUCAUUUCUGUGUAGUAGGAUUGCAAUGGGAUUUCCAGCAGAUGUGUGUAGGAAUUAAAAGCUCUGUUUCUAACA
Molecule: long non-coding RNA, 6601 nt
Organism: Pezoporus occidentalis (night parrot)
Lineage: Eukaryota; Metazoa; Chordata; Aves; Psittaciformes; Psittacidae
Exons: 8
Source: RefSeq, a predicted model, not a curated record